UUAGUCACUGACAAUUGUGUGAAGGCUGCUGUCGUUAACUUCACUUGAUCACCUUAGGCUCCUGUGAAGUGGUGAGCAAUUCAAACAAAUUCCUGUCGUCAAAUCAUGUGUUCAGCUGCAUUGGCGCCAGAGCACCAAUGGGGCAAGAGAAUCCUCUGGAGAAGUUUUCUGUGAUCUCAUCACAGGAGUAGCCCAGAGGAACAGCCCAGGGCCUGGGGCCUAGGAUGGGUGGACCAGGCCAUGCAGCUGGUUGGGGGCUUGACCCCCACUCAAAAAGACAGGAGAGAGAAGGGGAAUGGCUGUAAGCAGUGAAGCUCCUCUUUGAACACUGUAGAAGGUUCCCAUCCUGGCACAGGCAUGAUGGAGAAAUUGCACUGCAGAGAAAUCUUUAAAAGCAAUUACCUAAUACUGCAGAUUGCUGAACUGUACCCACACCCAAGACUGAGCAUUGGAUCAAUCCAGAAUAUACAUCAGGUGUUCUGCAAUGUCUGCCUAAAACCAUGACUCUGCCUCCUCCAGCUGUUGCUACAUCUCACUAUGGGUUUCCUGUGACAUUUUGAGCAAGUAUGCCUCUGUGACUGGGGUUCUUACACUCCAGAAUGGAUGAGAAGCACCGUAAGUGGCUUUUAAAAUGAAUAUUCCCUGGCCCUUCAGUCGCUCUAUAGGUCAAGAAUCUGAAUUCUCAACCUGUCUAGAAGGUUCUGGUUUUAAUGGUCUGUGGGCUGCACAUUGAGAAACCUGUUCAGCGAGUGCAACAAAGGUUCCACAUGUGAGAAAGGAAGCAUCAGGUCUCUUGAGCCUGUUCUUUAAUCUGUAGGCUGCACCUUCUCUUUAAAUUCUGCUAAUAACACCAUGCGAGAAAACACCCGAGCUUGAAAAGCCCAUGUUCCAACAUAACUGUCCUUCACCACUCUGGAAAAUUAAUGGUUUGUUUCGAUUAUCCCUUUGUUAAACUCCAAAGUCAAAGAGCUCUGAAAGGCAUACGGUUAUUUUAAGUUUCAGGUGAUUUCUGUUGCCAAAUAUUUUAAAAAUUUAAAAUUGCUACGUGACCUCUUAGUAGUACUAUUAGAUUUCCUGACAAUAAAAAUAAGUCUUUUGGUUUCACCAUUUAUAGUUAGUACAGCUAAUAUUAAGUAUAAUUUUAAAAGCCUUUUAUUUUCUCAGAAAGAAAAAAUAAUCAAAAUCUGCUCAGUGUGGUAUUGAAUAAUUAAAAACAAAAGAACAGUAUCUUCACAUUAGUGUUUAAUAUUAAUUGCUUUUUUACCCUUGACACUGGUGCUAAUUAAAUUUUCAUUUUAUUUUCCAUGAC
RNAcentral lists this long non-coding RNA (1309 nucleotides) under Homo sapiens (human). RNAcentral describes it as "HSALNT0331860". The record is from RNAcentral. Lineage: Eukaryota; Metazoa; Chordata; Mammalia; Primates; Hominidae.